RNAcentral lists this long non-coding RNA (270 nucleotides) under Lathyrus oleraceus (garden pea). RNAcentral describes it as "Pisum sativum (pea) long non-coding RNA (PSAT_LNC021315)". The record is from RNAcentral. Lineage: Eukaryota; Viridiplantae; Streptophyta; Magnoliopsida; Fabales; Fabaceae.
ACAAAAGCUGGCGUCUGAGGCAAGUGCGAAAUAAACCACUUGUACAGAAGAGGAAUGCAACAGACGAUAGUUCCACCACCCUUAGAAUCCUUAGAUGCAAAGAGAAAUUCAUAUCACCCAACAAAGUAGGCACAGGAUUCCCAAUCAAGAAAAGUAUAAUGGCGUUAACAUCAACAAAACAGUCAAUGUUAGGGAACAAAGCUAAUCCAUAGAUGAGCAACACCAGAUGGCUUCAAAAGCAUCCACACUACCAGCUUGAGCAAAAGUGGU